RNAcentral lists this ribosomal RNA (497 nucleotides) under uncultured bacterium. Its description in RNAcentral is "partial 16S ribosomal RNA". It matches the Rfam family "Bacterial small subunit ribosomal RNA", at positions 28 to 507 of the family's 1533-position model. The record is from RNAcentral.
GAUGAACGCUGGCGGCGUGCCUAAUACAUGCAAGUCGAGCGAACGGACGAGACGCUUGCUUUUCUGAUGUUAGCGGCGGACGGGUGUGUAACACGUGGAUAACCUACCUAUAAGACUGGGAUAACUUCGGGAAACCGGAGCUCAUACCGGAUAAUAUUUUGAACCGCAUGGUUCAACAGUGAAAGACGGUCUUGCUGUCACUUAUAGAUGGAUCCGCGCUGCAUUAGCUAGUUGGUAAGGUAACGGAUUACCAAGGCAACGAUGCAUAGCCGACCUGAGAGGGUGAUCGGCCACACUGGAACUGAGACACGGUCCAGACUCCUACGGGAGGCAGCAGUAGGGAAUCUUCCGCAAUGGGCGAAAGCCUGACGGAGCAACGCCGCGUGAGUGAUGAAGGUCUUCGGAUCGUAAAACUCUGUUAUUAGGGAAGAACAUAUGUGUAAGUAACUGUGCACAUCUUGACGGUACCUAAUCAGAAAGCCACGGCGAACUACGUG